This 110-nucleotide microRNA precursor is filed under the name Chlorocebus sabaeus (green monkey). RNAcentral's name for it is "miRNA (ENSCSAG00000026605.1)". The record is from RNAcentral. Lineage: Eukaryota; Metazoa; Chordata; Mammalia; Primates; Cercopithecidae.
UGAAUUUUGAAUUUUAUAUUAAAAUGAAUAUUUUUAGUAUGUCCCAUGCAAUAUUUGGGGCAUACUUAUACUAAAAAAUUAUUUGGUGUUUAUUAGAAAUUUAUGUUUAG